GGCUCCGUAGUUCAAGGGAUCAGAAUAUCUGACUUCGGAUCAGAGGAUGGGGGUUCGAAUCCCUCCGGGGCUA
RNAcentral lists this transfer RNA (73 nucleotides) under Bacteroidota bacterium. RNAcentral describes it as "Bacteroidetes bacterium tRNA-Arg". It matches the Rfam family "tRNA". From Rfam's summary of the family: Transfer RNA (tRNA) molecules are approximately 80 nucleotides in length. Their secondary structure includes four short double-helical elements and three loops (D, anti-codon, and T loops). Further hydrogen bonds mediate the characteristic L-shaped molecular structure. tRNAs have two regions of fundamental functional importance: the anti-codon, which is responsible for specific mRNA codon recognition, and the 3' end, to which the tRNAs corresponding amino acid is attached (by aminoacyl-tRNA synthetases). tRNAs cope with the degeneracy of the genetic code in two manners: having more than one tRNA (with a specific anti-codon) for a particular amino acid; and 'wobble' base-pairing, i.e. permitting non-standard base-pairing at the 3rd anti-codon position. The record is from RNAcentral. RNAcentral also lists the same sequence under 1 other name. Lineage: Bacteria; Pseudomonadati; Bacteroidota.